GAUGAACGCUGGCGGCGUGCCUAAUACAUGCAAGUCGAGCGAACAGGCGAGGAGCUUGCUCCUCUGACGUUAGCGGGACGGGUGAGUAACACGUGGAUAACCUACCUAUAAGACUGGGAUAACUUCGGGAAACCGGAGCUAAUACCGGAUAAUAUAUUGAACCGCAUGGUUCAAUAGUGAAAGACGGUUUUGCUGUCACUUAUAGAUGGAUCCGCGCCGCAUUAGCUAGUUGGUAAGGUAACGGCUUACCAAGGCAACGAUGCGUAGCCGACCUGAGAGGGUGAUCGGCCACACUGGAACUGAGACACGGUCCAGACUCCUACGGGAGGCAGCAGUAGGGAAUCUUCCGCAAUGGGCGAAAGCCUGACGGAGCAACGCCGCGUGAGUGAUGAAGGUCUUCGGAUCGUAAAACUCUGUUAUUAGGGAAGAACAAAUGUGUAAGUAACUAUGCACGUCUUGACGGUACCUAAUCAGAAAGCCACGGCUAACUACGUG
This 495-nucleotide ribosomal RNA is filed under the name uncultured bacterium. RNAcentral's name for it is "partial 16S ribosomal RNA". It matches the Rfam family "Bacterial small subunit ribosomal RNA", at positions 28 to 507 of the family's 1533-position model. The record is from RNAcentral.